RNAcentral lists this ribosomal RNA (810 nucleotides) under Clavulina sp. RNAcentral's name for it is "partial large subunit ribosomal RNA". It matches the Rfam family "Eukaryotic large subunit ribosomal RNA", at positions 77 to 925 of the family's 3401-position model. The record is from RNAcentral. Lineage: Eukaryota; Fungi; Basidiomycota; Agaricomycetes; Cantharellales; Hydnaceae.
CCCCUAGUAACGGCGAGUGAAGCGGGAANAGCUCAAAUUUAAAAUCUGGCAAUCNNUGNUUGUCUGAAUUGUAAUCUAGAGAAGCAUGUUCUGUGCUGGACUGUGUACAAGUUUCCUGGAUAUGGAACAUCAUAGAGGGUGAGAAUCCCGUCCUUGACACAGACUCCCAGUACUUUUGUGAUGUGCUCUCAACGAGUCGAGUUGUUUGGGAUUGCAGCUCAAAAUGGGAGGUAAAUUCCUUCUAAAGCUAAAUAUUGGCAAGAGACCGAUAGCGAACAAGUACCGUGAGGGAAAGAUGAAAAGUACUUUGGAAAGAGAGUUAAACAGUCCGUGAAAUUGUUAAAAGGGAAACGCUUGAAGUCAGUCAUGUUUGCUUGGAUUCAACCUUACUUAGGUUUGGUGCAUUUCCUUGCCAAUGGGUCAGCGUUCAUGUCAUUUCCUGGAAAAGGGCUGAGGGAAUGUAGCUCCUUUGGGAGUGUUAUAGCUUUUAAUUCGGAUGCAGGGAAAUGAUAUGGAGUGGUACAGCACACUUCUAUGUGGUGCUUGUGCUGGCAUAAUGGCUUUAAACGACCCGUCUUGAAACACGGACCAAGGAGUCUAACAUAUCUGCNAGUGUUUGAGUGGUUUUUUUUUGGGUGGCACUGGUGCCCCGAGCUGACCCUUGUGUGACGCAUCGGAGGNAGAGCAUAUAUGUUGGGACCCGAAAGAUGGUGAACUAUGCCUGAAUAGGGUGAAGCCAGAGGAAACUCUGGUGGAGGCUCGUAGCGAUUCUGACGUGCAAAUCGAUCGUCAAAUUUGGGUAUAGGGGCG